This 433-nucleotide ribosomal RNA is filed under the name uncultured bacterium. RNAcentral's name for it is "partial 16S ribosomal RNA". It matches the Rfam family "Bacterial small subunit ribosomal RNA", at positions 29 to 507 of the family's 1533-position model. The record is from RNAcentral.
AGCGAACGCUGGCGGCAGGCUUAACACAUGCAAGUCGAGCGGACCUUUCGGGGUCAGCGGCGGACGGGUGAGUAACGCGUGGGAACGUGCCUUCCGGUUCGGAAUAACCCUGGGAAACUAGGGCUAAUACCGGAUACGCCCUUAUGGGGAAAGGUUUACUGCCGGAAGAUCGGCCCGCGUCUGAUUAGCUAGUUGGUGGGGUAACGGCCUACCAAGGCGACGAUCAGUAGCUGGUCUGAGAGGAUGAUCAGCCACACUGGGACUGAGACACGGCCCAGACUCCUACGGGAGGCGGCAGUGGGGAAUAUUGGACAAUGGGCGCAAGCCUGAUCCAGCCAUGCCGCGGGAGUGAUGAAGGCCUUAGGGUUGUAAAGCUCUUUUAUCCGGGACGAUAAUGACGGUACCGGAGGAAUAAGCCCCGGCUAACUUCGUG